GAUGAACGCUGGCGGCGUGCCUAAUACAUGCAAGUCGAGCGAACAGACGAGGAGCUUGCUCCUCUGAUGUUAGCGGCGGACGGGUGAGUAACACGUGGAUAACCUACCUAUAAGACUGGGAUAACUUCGGGAAACCGGAGCUAAUACCGGAUAACAUGGUGAACCGCAUGGUUCAACAGUGAAAGACGGUCUUGCUGUCACUUAUAGAUGGAUCCGCGCCGCAUUAGCUAGUUGGUAAGGUAACGGCUUACCAAGGCAACGAUGCGUAGCCGACCUGAGAGGGUGAUCGGCCACACUGGAACUGAGACACGGUCCAGACUCCUACGGGAGGCAGCAGUAGGGAAUCUUCCGCAAUGGGCGAAAGCCUGACGGAGCAACGCCGCGUGAGUGAAGAAGGUCUUCGGAUCGUAAAACUCUGUUAUUAGGGAAGAACAAAUGUGUAAGUAACUAUGCACGUCUUGACGGUACCUAAUCAGAAAGCCACGGCUAACUACGUG
Molecule: ribosomal RNA, 497 nt
Filed under: uncultured bacterium
Lineage: Bacteria
Description: partial 16S ribosomal RNA
Rfam family: Bacterial small subunit ribosomal RNA
Source: RNAcentral